GACGAACGCUGGCGGCGUGCCUAAUACAUGCAAGUAGGACGCAGUUGCGAACGGGUGAGUAACGCGUAGGUAACUACCUAUUAGAGGGGGAUAACUAUUGGAAACGAUAGCUAAUACCGCAUACUAGUAGAUGGACCUGCGUUGUAUUAGUUAGUAGGUAGGGUAAUGGCCUACCUAGGCAACGAUACAUAGCCGACAUGAGAUGGUGUACGGGCAAACGUGGACUGAGACAAGGCCCAGACUCCGACGGGAGGCAGUAGUAGGGAAUCUUCGGCAAUGGGGGGAACCCUGACCGAGCAACGCCGCGGGAGGGAAGAAGGUUUUCGGAUCGGAAAGCUCUGUUGUUAAGGAAGCGGUACUUAACCAGAAAGGGACGGCUAACUACGUGCCAGCAGCCGCGGUAAUUC
This 407-nucleotide ribosomal RNA is filed under the name uncultured bacterium. Its description in RNAcentral is "partial 16S ribosomal RNA". It matches the Rfam family "Bacterial small subunit ribosomal RNA", at positions 28 to 526 of the family's 1533-position model. The record is from RNAcentral.